Molecule: ribosomal RNA, 508 nt
Filed under: uncultured bacterium
Lineage: Bacteria
Description: bacterial SSU rRNA
Rfam family: Bacterial small subunit ribosomal RNA
Source: RNAcentral
AUUGAACGCUGGCGGAAUGCUUUACACAUGCAAGUCGAGCGGCAGCGCGGGGCAACCUGGCGGCGAGCGGCGAACGGGUGAGUAAUGCAUCGGAACGUACCCAGUCGUGGGGGAUAACUGUCCGAAAGGACAGCUAAUACCGCAUACGUCCUGAGGGAGAAAGCGGGGGAUCGCAAGACCUCGCGCGAUUGGAGCGGCCGAUGCCGGAUUAGCUAGUUGGUAGGGUAAAGGCCUACCAAGGCGACGAUCCGUAGCUGGUCUGAGAGGACGACCAGCCACACUGGAACUGAGACGCGGUCCAGACUCCUACGGGAGGCAGCAGUGGGGAAUUUUGGACAAUGGGGGCAACCCUGAUCCAGCCAUUCCGCGUGAGUGAAGAAGGUCUUCGGGUUGUAAAGCUCUUUCGGCAGGAACGAAACGGUGAGGGCUAAUACCCUUUACUAAUGACGGUACCUGAAGAAGAAGCACCGGCUAACUACGUGCCAGCAGCCGCGGUAAAGUAGACGUC